Molecule: unclassified non-coding RNA, 237 nt
Filed under: Hevea brasiliensis (rubber tree)
Lineage: Eukaryota; Viridiplantae; Streptophyta; Magnoliopsida; Malpighiales; Euphorbiaceae
Source: RNAcentral
GAAACAAAUAGAACAAAUGAGACUUGAAACAAUUUCUUUUAGCACUCUAACUUAUAAGCAAAGACAAUCAACACCAAAUUAACAAAAAUAAGCCGAAGAAAACAGAAUCGCUCAAAUUUUCAGAAAUAGGCAUUUAAAAAAAAUUGAGAUUAAAUCAAAAAGAGGAGAAAAUCUAGCAGAAAAUCCACAAUAAAUGGACACUAAAUUUUACCCAAUUCUGUUCAAAACAACAUGGUC